Non-coding RNA from Echinops telfairi (small Madagascar hedgehog), 372 nucleotides. The record is from the annotation of a RefSeq genome assembly. Lineage: Eukaryota; Metazoa; Chordata; Mammalia; Afrosoricida; Tenrecidae.
AUGGUUGUGACUGGCGGAUUCCAAUUAUCCUUAUUUACCGGCAUUCUGUCCCAGGUUCAGCCUCAGGAGUCGGGGCCAGGACUGGUGAAACGCUCCCAGCAGCUGUCCCUCACCUGCACUGUCUCUGGUGUCUCCAGCACCAGCACAGGUUACGACUGGAACUGGAUCUGCCAGACCUCAGAGAAUGGACUGCAAUGGAUGGGAUACAGAGAUUAUGAUGGUGGUACAGAUUAUAACCCAUCCUUCCUGAGCCGACCCUCUGUCGCCAGAGACACAUUGAGGAAUCAGUUCUCCAUGCAGCUGAGCUCCGUGACUGCUGAGGACACGGCCGUGUAUUACUGUACAUGGAGCACAGUUAGGGGAAGUCAGUGA